Non-coding RNA from Drosophila melanogaster (fruit fly), 956 nucleotides. The record is from Ensembl. Lineage: Eukaryota; Metazoa; Arthropoda; Insecta; Diptera; Drosophilidae.
GACCAUGCGCACCCACCCUACAUAGGAUGCCCGGAGGAUUUUUGCGGACACACACAAUCCACACGUCGGUGUCGCUCCAGGCAGUCGUCCUAGUCAGGACCAUCCAUCUCACCUAUAGUGAACAACUCACAUAAAUCCCUCAAUCCCCUCAUCAGGUAGCGAUCACCCUUAAUCGUCGGCUUUUUUUGAAAUUGUCAAAGCAAAAGUGUUGGAUUCCUUUUGGGGUUACAAAAUCACGGCGGAAACUUGCCCCGCAAUUGGCGGUGCUUAUGGAGACGGCACUACUAUUCAAGUACUUAUGGUCACCUAACCCUGAGGGAUCAGAAGGGACUAAACGUGGGUGUCUGUUGUUCUCCCUAUCUAACUAACGUGCCCUGAACGGCACGACGACAAUUCGAACUCACAAUUGACUACGGAUUGAGUGACACAUUUAGCGGUUGACGGCCGUUGAAAACAAUCGUGGCGUUCGACGCCUGUCCAUGGAAACUACUGGAGUCAAGGGAGGUUGCCCUUGAAGACUCCUAUUGCGAGGAACACGGCCCUUCCUGCGCUCGGCUAUUCGAAGGUUUGGAUCUGACUCACCGGCGGCAUCGGAUUCGCCUCGUGGCAUAUGGUGACUUCCUUAAGUAGAGGACAACUAUUUAAUUGAAAAUUUCCUUGGCGUUGACCUGCAGGCGAAUUGGUAUGGCUUCGAUUGAGCUAUGAUUUACAUCUAAUCAUGGUCCCCGCCAUAUUCCUAAUCCACUCCCGACUAGGGCCAUCGGACAUUAUCCGUGCAACAUCCCCCAAAAUUAUCGGCCUAUCGCGUUACCGUCAUCGACUCAAACUGCAACAUUUCCAAAUUCAUUUUCCAAAAGUAAUUCUGAAAAUGUAUUUUCCUCUCUUGUUAAAUUGAGAGCGUAAAAAUCUAAAAUAUUUUUAAAAUCGUGCAUAUUCGAGUACAUCGAAUACAUCGU